CCCAUAUGAACAUCGUCGUCAUUUAUUGCUUUAAUAGUUCAUGUAUUUUUAUAUUUCAUUCUUAUUAACUGCUCUCUAAAUUUAGUUGCUAUUUUUAUUCAAAUAACGUAAUCGAUCACGUUCCCUGUCCGUCUCUCGUCAAUUUAGGCCUUUGGAGCGUUAUCAUAUAUGCAGAAAUAUUAAAGAUUCGAAGACACAAGUAACGGACGAGGAAUAUUACAACGUUUUGAAACACUGCUUGAAAGUCGGCAGGACAAUUUAUCAUUGCACCAAAAGAAAUUCGUAAGCGCCAGGUUUUCAUCACCGAGCGAGAUGGAGGCCUAUCAAGUCUGAAGAGCAAGGAAAAAAUGGGUUUGAAAAAUACUCGCAAAGGAUUGCAGAUAUCGUUCAACUGUUCUUAUCAUAUAACGAGGUAUUAAAAAAACUAUUGUGGACAUUUCAAUAUUUUGUUCAAUAUUUGUAUCAUUGCGGUUGACAUACGACAAAACGAAAUUGAUUAAAAUUACAUGAGGGAUGUGUCAAAGGAACAAAACAAAACAGCACCAUUUGUUUUGUCAAUUAUUGAAAAGCUGUAAAAAAAUCAUCCGAUUAGUUUUUGAUUUUCAAAUUAUCUGCACACUUCAGAUUGUGAAAUUCAUCUACAGAGCAACAUCAUUAAAAAAUUUAGUUACAUAGCAGGAUUUUCAUUGUAGGUAAAUAAUGAUGCAUCAUUCACUAUAACAGAUAUUAUUAAAGUUGUAAGAGCAAUUUACAAGGUAAAAAAAUAUUACAUUUGGGAUAUUGUCGUUGAAUAGCCAUAAAUUUGACUUGAUAACUCAUAAAAAAUAUUUUUGUUAUUAUUUGCUAUACACUAUCAAUCACAUAUAUUUUGAAUCAUAUUUAGUUUUAAUUGAGUUUCAAUUUGAAAAACAAAAUGAACAAUUUCUCCUGUUUCAGAAUAUAAUCUUUUAUUACAGGCAACAGGUCAGUAAAACAGUUAAAAACUCCGGGCGGUGUUGUAUUGUGUUCGAGUAUUUUCUGGAAAAUGGCAAAUGCUGCUUAAUCUACGUUGUAAUUGUUUGCAUCAAAAUUGUUCAGGGAAGAAAUAUUGUUGGCGGUUAAAAUCUUUUGAACUUGUCUCAUCCAAUUCGUUUUCAAUGAAUAUUUAAAUGACGUUAUUCAUAAACCGAAAGAAUAGUUUUUUAAACAAUAUAUAUUUCAUGAAGCGUUUUCCAAAUUUCCUAAUUUUUUGAAGAAAAUGACCUGUUUAAUGUCUCACGUCAACUGAUGUCUGCUAAAUUCACAAGUUACUGCAAUGAAGUUUCGUUUCCAAAAGUGACGUUCUCAGAACAGCAGUUAGUAUCUAAUUACCCGUUGCCUGGAAUUAUUUGUUGAAACUUAAUAGUGAUUUAGGUUUCAGACGAAAUAUAUAUAUAUAUCGAAAUAGGUUGCAUAGUUUUCUAAUAUCGGCUAAUUAAAUAACAAAUAAAUACAUUUUAGAAAUUUCUAAUAUCAGUGCUUUGAACGAUAUUUACAAAUUUCAUGUUGAAAACGAAGCUUGGUAAAGGCAAGAAUUGAAACUUAAUCACAAUUUCAUUGGGACUAUACGAGUGACAAAAUUAUCAAUGAUCAUUUUUAAUUCAGUAUAGUAACUGUAAAAAUUUAAACAAUAAUUACUGAAUUCAAUUGAUACCUGUUGGAUUCCCCACACAAGAACCUUUGACAGGCUAAACACAAUUGAAUAUUGGGAUCGAAGCGGAAAAGUUGCGAUUUGGUUCAGGUUUGAAUAAAUACAGGGAUAAUGACGUCACAUCUAUGAGUUUCGUGUUUGUCUUCAAGUUUGAAUCUUGCGAAAUUAGAUUCAGUUCCUAUAAAUCAUCAGGUAAAGUUGCAUUAAAACACUCGUGUUGUGUCAUCGGUUGUUAUACUUUUCACCAAGAAAGCCCUUACAAAAUUGGUGGUGAUGAUAGGAUGUUGAAGUAAGCGCGGAGAACCAAGACUUGGAGCUGAUCUACGAUUGCAAGUCGCAAUCGAUAAUGCACAUAUUGACUUACCACGAUAUAUGAAUUUCCAGUUUCUGUCUUGUUAGGUAAUACCCACAAAAUGACACAAGUAUGCGUAUUCUUGUACAGAGCAACAGGCGACGAUUCAACAGAUAAAGUUGCUUCCCCUGUUGUUUCGUUUCGUGUGGUAGAAUAUUUGGUUGGAUAAAUUUCUUUCGUUACACAUGAAGUUAUCUGACACGAAAUGACGCAGGUAUGCGUAUUCUUGUACAAAGCAACUGACGACGAUUCAACAGAUAAAGUUGCUUCCCCUGUUGUUUCGUUUCGUGUGGUAGAAUAAUUGGUUGGACAAAUUUCUUUCGUUACACAUGAAGUUAUCUGACAAAAAAAAAUUUGAGAACAUUAUAAUACCAACGUAUAAGUUGGCAGAAUAGCCAGGUAGCUUCAAACUUCACGAAAAAAGUAGAUUUUCUGUCACAAUUGAAGCAGAUAAAAUGACUCAAUGUAGGCUACCGUGGCUAUCUCACCAGAGAAAAUGUAAUCACAAAAAGAAGUAUUUUAUAUAUUACAUAUGACUGAGAUACAUGUACUGUAUUAUACUAAUAUUUCGUACUUUUAUAUUGUAGGUUGUGGUGGGCGACAAACUGGUUAUUGAAGUUGACAGCUUCUCAGAUGUUGGCGAAUCCACUCAUCUUGUUGACCCACCUGAGGUCGGAAUCACUUUUAUUCUAUGAAACAGAAUAGAAUUUACACUGAUAAUAAUACAAGAAAAUUUUGCACAAUAUUAAUCAUUAUAUAUAUAUAUAUUUGUUAUUAAUGACUACUAACGUCUCAUGAUUGAAAUUGUGUUAGA
Molecule: non-coding RNA, 2835 nt
Organism: Styela clava
Lineage: Eukaryota; Metazoa; Chordata; Ascidiacea; Stolidobranchia; Styelidae
Source: RefSeq, a predicted model, not a curated record